GGGGAUGUAGCUCAGUGGUAGAGCACAUUCUUCACUUGUGUCCUGGGUUCAAUCCCCAGCAUCUCCA
This 67-nucleotide transfer RNA is filed under the name Erinaceus europaeus (western European hedgehog). It matches the Rfam family "tRNA". From Rfam's summary of the family: Transfer RNA (tRNA) molecules are approximately 80 nucleotides in length. Their secondary structure includes four short double-helical elements and three loops (D, anti-codon, and T loops). The record is from Rfam by way of RNAcentral. Lineage: Eukaryota; Metazoa; Chordata; Mammalia; Eulipotyphla; Erinaceidae.